CCUGUAACUAAGCAAACUCAAAUACCACAAGAAGCUGAAUACAUUCAGGCCUUUGCUCAGCUACUAUUUUACUGUAACAAUAUACUCAGCAUAUGAGUUAUGAUAUAUAUAUAUUUAACUCAAUCAUUUUAAAGUAGUUAUACUGCACCUGUAAUAAACAUGUUAAUAUUUGAUUAUGAUAACCCCUAUAAUAUAAAUUAUAACAUAAUGCCAGCAGCUUCAAUAAAUGCUUGGAUGAAAUGAUAAUUAAUGCAAUGACAAGAUGAUGGUUAUGUAAAAUAGUCCCUAUAAUUCUACAAUUCCCCUUUUGACGUCUUCCAAAGGCGUCACUACACUAUUCCCAGGUCCACUACCUUCGCUCUGACCCUCUCUCUGCUACACCUUACUAACCUACUGUGUUCAUCUCAGGUUCCUGUCAUUAUUCAAAGUUGGUUCCCAAUAUCAUAUCAGGCAAAAUCACAAACCCUACUGCCACGUCUGCUUUGUUAAGCUCUUCAGUUAGACUCUGUACCAGUUUGCCAAUCUGUGUGUACAUGUCUCUACACUUUUAAUGUCUAAAUGCACAUCUGGAUGUAUGUGCACUUGUAUGUCUAUCUGCAUCUAUGAGUCAGUGGUUUUCAUAAAAACGCGUUAAAGUGAAGAAUGUUUCCUGACUAUUAACUCCUGAUACUGGAGGGACUUUCCGGGUUGCCCAACCUCUUAGGUUUGGCCUUUUACACUUUACUAAAGAAAUUUUAACAGAGCCCAAAGAGAUUUUUAUUUUGCUCCUGUGCUUGACAGGUUAAGCGAAGUUGUUUUUGUUUUGUUUUGAAAUUUUUCCCUUCUGUGUGUGUGUGUGUACAUAAGUAAGAAUAUGAUAAUCAACAUAAGAUCCCUGGUUUGCAAAUGAUUUUCUGCCCCGCUGCAGGGCAACAUCAUGUGGUGGUGAGUCUAUGUUGGCUAGUUUAAUACAGAUAUGUAACAGUUGCUUGAUUGCAUGGCCCACUCAGAGUUGCACAGUUUUAAUGUAUGUGGAGAGUGUUUUCACAGUUUAAACAUAGGUUACUCACAUUUCUAGCCUGAUUGUUUCCCAAUAAAAGUGAAAUCAAACAUUACAUUUGAUUUUACUUAUGUAUUUUCCUGUUCUGGGCUCUAUCCAUUAUAUUAACUUUAUUUAAUCUCAAUACUCUUUAUGUGUGUGAGCAACGCUUUUAGUUUUUUUUUUUUUUUUUUUAUUAAACACACCCCGGGUAAAAUAUACACCAUCCCCUGUCAGCCUAAAUCUCCGCUAAAAAAGCACACUUCAAAGUUUUCUAUCUGGAUUUAUGCCUCCUUUGGCUUCAAGCAUAUACAUAACAUGCAAAGGUUACUGUUAAUGCCCGUUAGACAAGUUUCCAUCAUCUACAACAUUUUGUUUCACCCGGCUCACCCUCACACAUUUCUUGUUCACUUAUUGCAUAUUUAUCUUUAACACCAUUUACCUCAGUAGUUGCUAAGCAGAAACAAAGCAACCUGUGGUCCACCUUUACCCUGUAAAAUAAACCCCUGUCAUGUUUGUGUCUGUAAGCAUGUUUUGCAUUCAUUCAUUACACUCCCGCCAUUCCUGCAAGUUAGGAGCUGUAAAGUUGAAAGCUGCAUCAAGUCCAGGCCUUUGGCCUGGCCUAUAUUAAAUCAUGUGUGUUUGUAAGCGUGCAUGCAAUUCACCUGCUAUGUUCUCAUCUUCCCUCAACAUGUAUCACCUGGACACUCUCACCAGUGAAGCUUAAAACCCUCUUGGAUAGAACAUCAACUCUAAACAAGCACAGAUAUGCAAUGUGUAUAAAAUGAACUAAACCUGUGAAUAGAAUGAAUGUGAUGACAAACCUAUUCAAUGCAAUAUGAACCCUGUAAACAAUAUUACUGAUAAACAAUGUUUCCUUAUUAUUUUGUCAUAAAAUAAAUCAAACAAAUAACUUAAGCUGUGUGACGGCACCUUGCGUUUACGCCAGGCUGUGAACUGCCCUAAAUCUACUUGCUACACCCCCUUUUCACCUAGUUUAAUUUUUUCAAUCCUAAUUUAAACUAUUCCUGACUUCCCUCAAUGCACACUGUAAAGUGUAAAAGAUACAGUUAGCUUUCUCCUGGUAAAAGGUCCUACAUUAUUUUCUCUACCUUUGGAAACAUCCUCUAUCGAGUUAACCCAUUUCAUUUUUCAAACUUAGGCCUGAUUUCUUCGCCCCCUUUAACGGGUAGCGCAUAUCCGGUCUGAACACUGUGUUUGGGCAAUUUACAAUUGUUGCAGGAUUUCUAUGUUAUGUAAAGUUCCUCUCAUCCCUUUUAUGCUUCCAUUAUAACCUGUGUCUAACAAGCUUUUGAUCUUCUUUGUAAUAUAAACAACUCGGUGUAUUUGUGCUCUGUUCUUCUCCUUUCUCUCAUCUGAUCAUCUCAAGCACGUCCUGUACCAAAUUUGCUUCCUCUUUUCAAGCCCACAUUUAAUUACAAGCUCUAACACAUUUGCCCUAUACGGCGGUCUCGACGUGUUUCCUGUCUACUUAUAAAAAUACCAGAGUUAUUCUCAGAACUCAGAGCUGAAGUUCCCUUUUCUAAGUCUGUAGGUUCAAGAAGAGAGCAAGCUGCUAGUCGGUAAACAACUUUAUCAUCACAUAAGUUAUUAGGUAAACGUCACGUAGACACAUUUCAUGUAGCUGAUAACAUAUAUACAAUUUUCCUUUGACAUAUCUGUAUGUGCACGCCUAAAUUAUAACCUCUUAUUCUAGAAAUCAAAAAUAACCUGAAAAUAACACUUUCUGCCUCAGUUUUACCAUACCUAAAUUAUCAAAAACCUAAACAUCAUCAAGUAAUC
Oreochromis aureus is the source of this 2821-nucleotide long non-coding RNA. The record is from Ensembl. NCBI's taxonomy places the organism in Eukaryota, Metazoa, Chordata, Actinopteri, Cichliformes, Cichlidae.